Homo sapiens (human) is the source of this 4629-nucleotide long non-coding RNA. RefSeq lists it as uncharacterized. The record is from RefSeq and is a predicted model, not a curated record. Lineage: Eukaryota; Metazoa; Chordata; Mammalia; Primates; Hominidae. The transcript is spliced from 2 exons.
GCAUGUCCCCUGGAUUUGUGGUCAGUUGUUGGGGUUCUGUCUCUAUCCUCAAGCCUUCUCUAUGCACAUUCUUUUCGUUGUGGUGAGAUUGGAGAAGAAGAGUGGGGAAAAAGGCCAGCAUUGCUUUCAAGUAUGGAUAUUCCAGGUAUAAUUUGAAAGGACAUUUGUACAUAAAUGGUUAUCCUCAGGGCUGGACAGCCCUGCAUUUGAUCUUGGGAGGAGUUGUUGCUACUCUACAAGGGCAGGGAGAACAUCAGAAAAAGCAUAUGAGAUGGUAUGGAAAAUUCAAGGUACUAUUUCUUUGUUUCUUGCUAUGUUCUAGAGAUAACUGUAGGUGGCCUAUAGAGAUGGCUAUGCACAGUGGCCAUAGAGGGAAAAGAUGGGGAAGGGAAAUGGUGGCACCAGGAAUGACGCCACUCUACACGCCCAACCUCACGACCUUCUGAGGGCUGUCCUUAGCUGUAACAGCUGGUCCCCAAGGGUAACCUUGUUGCUGAUCCAAAUCUCAUUGCCAUAGGUAGAAGUGGAACCAACUCUUCUUGGUGCUGAGUGCAGGCAGGAUGCUUCCUGAGGAACCUCACCAACAGAACCAGUGUCCUGACCACUAACGUCAUGGAGAGGGUCCCACAUACGUCACCCCUCACCUCUAGUCAGUAGCUUCAUUCUAGAGGCAAGCAGGAAAGGCAAUUUUGUACGUAGCUGAAAGCUUGUGUGGUGUCACUGGGGCCAUUGUCAGGUGGUAGAAAGAGCCUGGAGUUCAGCCUUCCUGGGCUCCACUCCCAGCCAGUUACUCCAGUUGGGAGCCUUCCUGGCACGGUGGUGUGAGAAUCGCAUGAGGCGUGCGGAGGACCUAACCCAGUGCUGAGCUCCUAGCAAGUGCGUCACCAUCUUAUCCUUACGAAAUGCUAUGUUAUGUGGUUCGACUGUGGUAGGGUAGAGAAGCAGCUGUUACACAGACAGACAGACAUGAUCUGCGGGGAGGGUGUGCUGGGGAAGGAAGUUCUAGAUUCUGAAGGCCAGCUAGAAAAAUAUGGAUGUCAGAGCCACUGAAGGCACAGCCUGGGGAACAGCCCUAAGGGCAGUUGGCUUGGUUGGCCACAGUGGAGGCUCUGGAUUCCACAAUCUCAUCUCGGACUAGGCAGGGGGCAAGAGAAGAGAGAGGGAAGCGGCAGUAGUGUGAGGAAUUCUUUGAGGAGGAAGAUGACAGAACAGAGUGACUAACCAUUUAUAGAAGACAGGAGAGAGACUGAGGAGAUAGGAGCCUCUCAGAUGACAGACAAAUCUUUUCUUUGAAGUGUUUUCAUGGGUUUGAAUGUGAGCGUGUCUGAUAUUCUGGGAGACUGCACCACUUUAAACAAAACAGUGGGCCCACACUGAGGACGCCAGACAUAGAAAGUUCCUUCUUCACCAUCCUCCACCCUCUGUGUGGCUGCUUCUGUUUUGCACACCAAGCUAUGACGACUUGUUCUCCAUGCUGCUGCCUUCCCUUCAUCUCAGUCCCCUAGCUGGAUAAUGCUUAUUGUUUUUUCAGCUACAGGAGUCAUUUAAGUGCUUGGCUUUUAAAAGAUGCCCAUGUUUUAUUCUUGUGGAUUGUGUAGACACCCAGACAGAGCUUGAGUUGAAGUUUGAUGAAGUGUGGAUGAUAACGUGUACAAGUACAAUCUAAAAUCACAGUGUUUCCAAACUGGGUCAUGAACCAUUAGUGAGUUGUGAAACCAAUUUAGUGGAGGUCAGGCCACCAUUUCUAAAGAAUGAAAUAAAAUACAGAAGAAAAUAUCAGAGCAUUCUGCACAUGAAACCUAGUUCUUUUGAUACAUGUGUACUGGGUAACGAUGUAGGAUAUAUUCUCAUUGUGGAUUUUUUUUUAAUGUUUAUAAAACUCAGAAUCAUGAAUGAUGGAGGAAAGAGAUUGUAAGAGAAAUUGAAAUUGCCAAGGUCAGAUAUGGAGAAGCAAGAAAAUAUUGAGGGGACUAUAUUAUGGCAAGCUGAGUGUCUGAGCGACUUCACGUUAUUCCUGUCUUGCUCUAAAAUAAAGAAAUAUCACAACUGUGCAUUUCAUAUUUAUUAUUGUUUUAUUAGAAUAUGAUUGUUUUGCAUUUCCAGAGCCACAGCCUCUUCUUGAAAGAGCAGACAUUGCAUUUCUCCCAAUACUCAGUUGAGUACCUGAAAGAAUAACGUUUCCUGUCUAUAGUUUAUUAACUUACUUUACUUGGAAGACUCUGUCAUUCAAAAACCAAAGGAAGACUUGACAAGCUGAAAUACUUGUGAGGGAAAGAGUUGUCCAUGUCAUUAAAUUAAGCCUGUACUAAAUAAGCAAUGGAAGAACUUAGCCAGAAUGGAGUAUCUGAUGAGCAGGCACCCUGGAGAGAAAAUCUUCUUCACCUCAAGGAUGAAGGUCUAGUCCCUCUCCAAAAACAAGUACACUUCCGUGUCCCUGAGGAUGUGCCAGUGUUGACACAUUUGUGAGUCAUUACCAGCCCAACUGGGCACAUAGUGCUGUAUCUUGCGAUGGUUCACUGUGGUUACCAGACAGGGCCAGGUUCGUGGAUGUUUGACCUGUGAGGUUGCUCAGCACCCCAUGCUCAGAAGGGCUCCAUGCUUGGUUUAAUGCCCUGCUAUCACUGUCUUGAAAUUCUUAAUAAUUUUCCAACAAGGGGACUUGUGUUUUCACUUUCCACUGUGCCCCACACAGCAUGUAGCUGGUCCUGCCUCUAGAAGCACCCUUGUCUGCCCUCUUUCCUCAGGGUGGCACCAUAACCCCAAGUUACUGGUGACUACCUCCACUGGAAUAACCCACUGUAUUUCCACAAAUUGUGGGUAGCCUAGAAAAGAAGAGAGGAUGGAGGAACCACAGUGAGGUGGAGGGUCACCGAAGGUCUGGCGUGUUGUGCAUGCUGGUGAGUGGCUCCAUUGAACCUGGAGUGGACGUUAGGAUCAGGUCCUGCAGAGCCUAUGGGCCAUGUGAAGGGGACAAACUUGAUCCUGAGGGCUAUGGGAAGCCUUGGAAAGUUUGAGCAAAUGAGUAACAUCAUGUGGUAUUCAGGAGAUCCUGACAUGACUGUUGUGCCAAGUUCCAAGCUCCAAGGAGAAGGGCCCACAAAAUGCAAUAUUGAGCUUGCAGGUGUAGGACCAUUUUUACCUAGUUUUCAGGGAUAUGAAAAGCAACAAUUUGUAACGUGUUCACUCAUGUAACAUGUAUUUGUUGAGCACUGCACAUGCCAGAUACUGUUUUAGACACUGGGAUUGCAGCAGAACAUUGAGAAUCCAUGCCCUGAUGGGGCCUGAGUGAUGAUGGAAGGAAACAGACAAGAAACAAGUGAGAGAGAGGGAAGGAGGGAGGGAAAAGAAAAGGAGAUGGAGAUGAAGUAUAAUGAAGAGAAAUAGAGCAUAUCAGGGAGGGUAGCUAGUGGUGGGACGGGGGUCCCUCUUAGGUAAACUGGUCAGGGUAGGAUUCUACUAGGUAACAUUCUAGUGGAGACCAGAUUUAAAUGAGGGAGCCAGCCAUGUGAGCAUCUACGGAAGAGUGUUCUGGCCGGAGGGGAUGGGGGUGAAAAAGGCCCAAGAUGGACCUUGUUUGGCAUUUGGGCAUGAGGCCAAUGUGGUUGGAUCAGAGUGAAUUGAGUGGGAUUGGCAGGAGAGUAAGUUGGUGAGACAGCAGGUUAUAGGGCCGUUUAGGAUAUUGUGAGGGCUCAGGAUGUUGUUUUGAGUGAUAUGGUGGCCAUUGGAGGGUUUUGAGCAAGGGAAUAUGUGGCCUUACUUGUAUUUUUGUUUUAUUUUUAUUUUAUAUUUUUGAGAUGGAGUCUCGCUCUAUCACCCAGGCUGGAGUACAAUGGUGCCAUCUUGGCUUACUGCAACCUCCACCUCCUGGGUUCAAGUGAUUCUCCUGCCUCAGCCUCCCAAAUAGCUGCGAUCACAGGUGCGUGUCACCAUGCCCAGCUAAUUUUUUGUAUUUUAAGUAGAGAUGGGGUUUCACCAUGUUGCCCAGGCUGGUCUCAAACUCCUGACCUCAAGUGAUCCACCUGCCUUGGCCUCCCAAAGUGCUGGUAUUACAGACGUGAGCCACCAUACCUGCUUAGUUGUAUUUUUAAAGGGUAAUUUUGACUCUGCUGUGAAAAAUAGACUGAGGUGGGGUGACUAGGGUGUGAACAGCAGGGGUCAGGGUAGAAGAGAGAAGGAAGCUGGCCAGGCACCGUGGCUCACGCCUGUAAUCCCAGUACUUUGGGAGGCCGAGGUGGGUGGAUUACAAGGUUAGGAGUUCGAGACCAGCCUGGCCAACAUAGUGAAACCCUGUCUCUACUAAAAAUACAAAAAAUUAGCUGGGCGUGGUGGUGGGUGCCUGUAAUCCCAGCUACUUGGGAGGCUGAGGCAGGAGAAUCGCUUGAACUCGGGAGGCGGAGGUUGCAGUGAGCUGAGAUCACUCCAUUGCACUCCAGCCUGGGUGACAGUGCAAGACUCCAUCUCAAAAAAAAAAAGAGGAGGAAGCUACUGUAAUAACCUAGGUGAGGUGCUGGUGGCACAGUGCUAGUGGCUGAUUCUGGAUGUGCAUCGAAGAUACUGCCAACAGGAUUUGCAUAUGAUGUGCAGUAUGAGAGAGAGGAAUAAAAGAUGACUGUAAAGUUUUGGCCUGAA